CUCCUCCCUGCUGUCUCCGAGCGCCGGGUCGGGAGCUAGUUGGAGCGCGGGGGUUGGUGCCAGAGCCCAGCUCCGCCGAGCCGGGCGGGUCGGCAGCGCGUCCAGCGGCUGCUGGGAGCCCGAGCGCAGCGGGCGCGGGCCCGGGUCGGGACUGCACCGGAGCGCUGAGAGCUGGAGGCCGUUCCUGCGCGGCCGCCCCAUUCCCAGACAGGCCGCCAGCCCAUCUGGUUCGCUCCCGCCGCUCCGCGCCGCCCGGGAGUCGGGAGCCGCGGGGAACCGGGCACUUGCACCCGCCGCUGGGAGGUUUUCUCCCCUGUCUGCCUCCCGGAGCUAGGACUGCAGAGGGGCCUAUCAUGGUGCUUGCAGGCCCCCUGGCUGUCUCGCUGUUGCUGCCCAGCCUCACACUGCUGGUGUCCCACCUCUCCAGCUCCCAGGAUGUCUCCAGUGAGCCCAGCAGUGAGCAGCAGCUGUGCGCCCUUAGCGAGCACCCCACCGUGGCCUUUGAAGAUCUGCAGCCGUGGGUCUCUAACUUCACCUACCCUGGAGCCCGGGAUUUCUCCCAGCUCGCUUUGGACCCCUCCAGGAACCAGCUCAUCGUGGGAGCCAGGUAAC
RNAcentral lists this small RNA (612 nucleotides) under Pan troglodytes (chimpanzee). RNAcentral's name for it is "processed transcript". Lineage: Eukaryota; Metazoa; Chordata; Mammalia; Primates; Hominidae. The record is from RNAcentral.